This 418-nucleotide ribosomal RNA is filed under the name Phyllodoce lineata. RNAcentral describes it as "partial 16S ribosomal RNA". It matches the Rfam family "Bacterial large subunit ribosomal RNA", at positions 1959 to 2598 of the family's 2925-position model. The record is from RNAcentral. Lineage: Eukaryota; Metazoa; Annelida; Polychaeta; Phyllodocida; Phyllodocidae.
GCAUAAUAGUUUGCCUUUUAAUUGGAGGCUGGAAUGAAUGGAUAUACGAGGUUAAAGCUGUCUCAAUCUUAGUUAUAAAAAUUAGUAUUUAGGUGAGGAAACCUAAAUAACAAUGAAGGACAAAAAGACCCUAUUGAGCUUUAUUUUAAAUAGAUUUCAAAUAUUUUUAUAUUUAUACUUCUAAAAAUUUGGUUGGGGCAACAAAGGAAUAAAUAUAUCUUCCUUUAUAUUUUAGAGACUUAACUCUUUUAAACGAUCUAAAAAUUUAAUAAAGAGAAAGAGUUACCAUAGGGAUAACAGGCUAAUCCUUUUGGAGAGUUCAUAUUGAUAAAAGGGUUUGGCACCUCGAUGUUGGCUUAGAAUAUCCUAUAGGUGCAGCAGUCUAUAAGGGUUGGUUUGUUCAACCAUUAAAAUUCUA